UACGAAGGGGGCUAGCGUUGCUCGGAAUCACUGGGCGUAAAGCGCACGUAGGCGGAUCCUUAAGUCGGGGGCUCAACCCUCGGAUGCCGGUGGAUACUGUCGGGCUUGAGUACGGAAGAGGCGAGUGGAAUUCCCGGUGUAGCGGUGAAAUGCGCAGAUAUCGGGAGGAACACCUAUGGCGAAGGCAGCUCGCUGGGACGUUACUGACGCUGAGACGCGAAAGCGUGGGGAGCAAACAGG
Molecule: ribosomal RNA, 240 nt
Filed under: uncultured bacterium
Lineage: Bacteria
Description: partial 16S ribosomal RNA
Rfam family: Bacterial small subunit ribosomal RNA
Source: RNAcentral